AGGGCCAGAAGAGGCGCGUUUACUAGGUAGUUAAUGGGAAGAGAUCAAACUCUUAUGAACAUUAACCAGGGAGUAUAACGCCGAGAUAAAUAUAUAUUUGAUGAUGUAUUUGUCGGUUGUUCAGGCUGAAUCCUGGCAACUGUCACCGUAAGGUGGAGAGCUUCUGGCCUU
This 171-nucleotide non-coding RNA is filed under the name Thalassotalea sp. PP2-459. Its description in RNAcentral is "Lysine riboswitch aptamer". It matches the Rfam family "Lysine riboswitch aptamer". Rfam says of the family: Riboswitches are metabolite binding domains within certain messenger RNAs that serve as precision sensors for their corresponding targets. Allosteric rearrangement of mRNA structure is mediated by ligand binding, and this results in modulation of gene expression. This family includes riboswitches that sense lysine in a number of genes involved in lysine metabolism, including lysC. Lineage: Bacteria; Pseudomonadati; Pseudomonadota; Gammaproteobacteria; Alteromonadales; Colwelliaceae. The record is from Rfam by way of RNAcentral. RNAcentral also lists the same sequence under 1 other name.